ACGGACCGAACACGAUCUGCGCUCCCUCCAAUCCUUCCACGCGUAACAACCUUGCCGAUCCGUGGGGGAUUCAAUCCCCAGAAACUCGGAUUUGUUGGCCACGACUAGUCUUUAGUGCAUAUACGUACCGCCCCACACUCCCUCUGUAACCCCUAGUGCUCCGCUGCCGCCUCCUGUAAUUCAUUGGGGCCAACAGGAUAGAUCGCCGCCGCCAGGAACAAAGGAAGUUAGCGCCUGCUGUGAGCUCGCGAUUGGGAUGAGAGAGAUGAGUUGCCGCGGGGAGCUAGGGAGCUCGGCCAGUGUUCGCGCUGGGCAUCUAAGGGGUCCUCGCGUGUCCGUCGACGCGAGGGCUGGGUUUCCUCGCCGCUGGGUGGCAAAGAUGUCCGCCCGCCGUCGUGGACCUGCGUGUCUGAUGACAUUGAAGCAUCGGCAACCAUCCUGGGAUGUUCCCUGGGACACAAGGACGGGGUACGCUGUAGCCAGACCAACUUUGGGGCCGGUGCCUAACCAAUUUCUCGUCGGCGUGGGAACAUCACCGCGGAUCUGCAGAGCACGUGGACCGAUGUCUCCUCACCAUCAUUCUCGGUAAGACUUGUUGCCACUGAUUCGCCGUGUUCAUAGCUUCGUGUAGCUCCAUUUAAUUUGAUGGUGGUGCUCGGGGGAGACCGAUUGGGUCACGGUCGAUCUCCUCCACCGCGCGGUCAUGGCGGAGGCGCCCCUGCUUGGUUGGCGGGGGAAGAUGAACGGCGACCGUUGAUCUGGCCUGGGUGGCCACGAUUAAAUGGUUCGUGUACCGAUUCGCUGGGUGAACCUGGGCCGUUGAUCAAAGAAUGGGCGGGCAAGAUUUAAUGUUAGGGAAUUAAGAUCUGGCCGUCGAUCUGGAAUCAAACGACCAGCGUGGUGUACCGGUUCAUUGGACGGAUGGGUUUAAUCGGGACCGUUGGAUUUAAUCCGAUGGCUGGAAAUACGUGAUACCCCUUCGCGUGGUAUAUUAGCUAAAGAGACCCUUACUUUUUCAGUAACUAACCCGCGGUCCAGUCCUGAGUUAACCUGAGUCUGGGGUAUCUUACACCGAGGCCCCUGACUUUUUCUGUAAUAGUGCGCCCAGUCCAGGAAUCAAUAAAAUCAGAGAAAUUCUUUCUAAAUUCAUUUUUAAUACAAAAAAAUAAUGGUAGAAACUUGUAUAAAUCAUAGAAGAUGCAUACUAAAUCCUUUUUAACCCAUUCCAGUUCCUAUAAUUUUGUUUUAAUAUUAUCUAUCAACUAGUAACACUAUUUAGCCUUGAAACUUGAAUUAAAAUUGUUCAUUUGAAUUAAUCUAAUCUAAGUACCUAAUAACUUCGGAAAUUCAUAAUUUCUUCGUUUUAACUCCGAUUUGAUCCGUUCAAGUUGCGUUAGUCUCGUAGCAACGCGUAGAUCAUUAUUAUGCAGUAUAUUCUUAUGUAUGGUGUGAUGUUAAUUUUAUCUAUACCAUGUUUGUUUGUAUUGCUACGACUAGCGCGAGGACACGUAUCAUCUGAAAAGCAAGUUGGUACCUGGAAUCUCAAGUGCCAGGCAAGUUGUGCCCUUGAUCACUUACUUUCCCAGCCAUGUUCUUAUUAAUUUUAAUGAUCUGCAUAGGAUAAUUUUGAUGGGAGCCUUUAUGUUACCCCAGUUUUGAUUACCUCUAUACCUUGUUCACCCCUGAAAUAUUUUUGGGUAGUACUUGCUAUUGCUUUAUGUGGAUUGGGUAUGGAGAUACACUAUUCAUGAUUAUUCUGUUAUUAACUUGUUAUUAUUAUUGUUCAUGUUAAGAUCAUUAAAUUAAUGGGAACAUGGAGCGACCACCCGGGAAAACAGUGCUACCACAAGGGUAUAAUGGGACGCCCUUGGCUGACUAAUUAGGAAAGCUAGUGGAAGACUACCUUACCCGAAAGGGGCAAGGGCAGUAGGGGAGAGGUCAGUGCGGGGAGGUCCCUGGUUGAUUUUGCUGCGAUGGCUGUCAGCCAGGAACCCUGUACUGGAUCUUCCUAUAAACUGUAGCGGGUUUUCGGAAGCUAGUGGAACUUUGUAAAGGCCUCGUAGUGGAUCCCUAGCCAUUCACCUCGGUAGUGUCUAAGGGCCUUGCAAACCCAGGCGACAUGGGAUACACGACUUGUGGGUAAAGAUGCGCAACCUCUGCAGAGUGUAAAACUAGUAUACUAGCCGUGCUCACGGUCAAGAGCGGCUCGGACCCUCACAUGAUUAAUUAUGGAACUUAAAUUCAAUUUGACAUUUGCAUCGCAUUUGGGAUUAUUUUACUAUUAUUGUUCUUUAUUAUUAUUAAGGUUUGGUAUUUACUUACACUUAGUAAUUGCUAAUAAAAUUUUGACCAACUUAUAAAAGCAAUGCUCAGCCUCAGCCUUUAUUCCAUUGAUCAGCCUUACACUUCAUGAACUCCCACCUUUAGUGAGUUCAUGCCACAUUAUUCCCCACAACUUGUUGAGCUAUGAACGUAUGUGAGCUCACUCUUGCUGUCUCACACCCCCCCCCCCCACACAGGAGAAGAACAGGUGGUCGAAGAGGAGUCGCCUAACACUGAGGAGUUCGAUCUGAUCUAGGUGGCGUGUCUCGGUCGACAUUGGCGCCGACGAUCCUUAGUUCGCUUUAUCUUUAUUAUUUUAUUUUGUAAUAAGUCUUCC
RNAcentral lists this long non-coding RNA (2659 nucleotides) under Zea mays. RNAcentral describes it as "long non-coding RNA (ZMAY_LNC005245)". The record is from RNAcentral. Lineage: Eukaryota; Viridiplantae; Streptophyta; Magnoliopsida; Poales; Poaceae.